AGUGUAUGUUAAAGUAGGACUGAGAGAUAAAUAAAGUAGAUUUUCUUCUCUGGAACACACUGCAGUUUAAUUUCACUUCUUCUCUCAUUGUGUGAUGAAGGUGGAUUUAACUUUUAAAGGCAAAGAGACAAUCCUCUGCUAGCAUUAAAUGGAAAGGCUUUGGGAGAAGGGUUGAUUCCAGCUGAUAAAAGGAAAAAAGCUUCCUCUUCCCUCCCCAACAUUGAUAUUCUGGUCAUCAUCAGAAGGAGAAGGGAACAAAAGAUCCACUAUACAGUGCCAAGUAGCAAGAUGUCAAAAAGGACUAAACCAAUCCAGAGCUGCUGCUGAUCCUGCCUGUUCAUGAUACUGCCUGCUCCUUCUCCUCCUGAUCUCCUGAUCCUCUGGCCCUGACCCUUACCCUGAACACUGUUGUGGAUCCUGCUGGGUUGCUGGUACCUGCUGCUAUAUCUUCAGACAAACUUGGAGCUGCUCUCCAGGCAUCUGGUAAAAACCAGAGUGUGUUUUCCUUAGGUAAUAUAGUAGUAGUCUCUCGGUAACCGAGAAUUACGAUUGUCUUUGUGCAUUUUCAUCUAUGAUAGAUGAGUGUGCACUAAGACACUUGUGUGUGAAGGAGAUUUAAGUGGAAAAGUUGAUGCACAGAGACAGUCCCACUCUCUUGGCGUUGGAAGCCUGGGUCCAGUGGCACGAAAAGUCGUUACACCUGGAGACUUCCUCAGCUGCAUUGGAUGGCCAUGUUGUCUUUUGUGCUCCAACAUGCCCUAAGCACUCCACAGUGCUUUGCUGCAUCGCCCUCUCAGCCGUUGAACCUUCUUAUUGAUUUCUUCUGAUCCUUAGGCAAUAAUCAGAUUCCUAACUCCCUGUCUGUAUGGUAGGAGAAACAAACUGCUCCCCAGUGUUUUACCGCAGGGGGGAAGGGGAAAGAAAGUUACUCUUCCAAACAGGAAGAAAAUUACAAGCAUGGUUCAUUCUACAGAAGAACAGUAACUUGCCUAUUUCAGACAACUUCUAGUUAUAGGAUGUUUUCUCUUUCUACCCUUAUUGGGUGCACUGGUCCUUUCAAUCAUAUUGCCUGAUAUGCAGGGGAGAAAUUCAUCUUUCUACAGCCCUUUGCCAUUUGGACCUGCCCAGUCUCUAAGAUUCAUCCAGUUUGGCAUUCCACCAAACCAUGUACAGCGAGAAAUUCUCCCUCGCUAUGGGAGAUCCCAGAGCUUUCAAAAAAAAGGAAUCUGAACAAAUAGAGAAGAAACUUAAUGAGAUUGGAGGUGAAAAUGUUAAGACUUUUCAGACUCCAUUGUUUUAUGAAUGUCUCUGCAUUUUAUUGUAUUUGCUGGUUGUUUUGUUUAUGAUUUAAUUUUGUUGUUUUAAGUUCAUAUAUUAAUCUGAUCAAUACUAUUCUGUUGCACUGAAUCAUUUGAAUCUACCGUGUUUUAGCUAUUAGAUGUAUUCUGUUGCCUUUCCCCUAUAACUAGACUGAACAAAAUAUCAUUGUAUGAGUCCAUAAAAACAGCUUUUUUUUUUUUUUUUUACAUUUUGGCUUUGUUAAACGUCACAUAGAGGAUGGAUGGACUCUGUCAACCUUGUUAACAACCUUUGGAAAAUUUAAUCAGUUAAAUAUAUCAAAUUGAUUUUAAAGGGGCCUUCAGACCUGAUUUUAGAUUUUUUUCAAUAACUCUGACUGAUCAUUUUGCCUGCCUCUGAGUUAAAGGGUCUGUUUUAGUAGCUGAAGUGAAGUGCAAUUAUAUCCUUGUAGGAUUCCAGGAAGAAUCUCAGAGCUGAGCCACAAAGAGCUCAGCUCUGGACCUGUCAGACAGCAUUCCAAUGUAUAAUUUAUGAGCAGGCCAUGCGGUAUUUGUUCUGGGAGUUUGAAAAGAGCAGGCUGUACUUACCACACGUCUAGCUUGUACGUCAAGGAUUUGUCAAGCCAAUGUAAAUCCUCUAUAUGUAUUACCUGCCUCUGAUGUCAUUACAUCAGUAAAAAGUCAGGAAGGAAGAGACCCUCUCUCUCUUGUUCUCUUCCUCUGUCUGUCUCUCACUCCUACCUGUCUGCUAGCCACAUGGAUCUCUCCUGUUAUGGAGAGCCAGUAUACCUCUAAAGAUUUUCUCUCUUUUUUCUCUUUCUUCUCACCUCACUCCUGAUUCCUUAUUCAUGCAUUCUGGUUAAUUUCUAUCUUUCUGCAUUGUGUGCUCAGCAAAGGAAGAUGGAAGGGAAGCCGCGUCCUUCCAUGAAAAGAUAUGAUCUGGUAUCUAUCUCUAUUCAUUAACCUCUCUCUUCAACUUGUCUCUUCUCCUCUAAAUCAUAAUUCCUUUAGUUAUUCCCUUUCAUAUAGCAAUUGCAGGUAAAUUGCUGCAAUCCCCACUCCACAUUUGUAAAAAUAUAAAUGGAUGGGACCUCACAGUCUCAUACCAGAGGAGCUGGGGAGUUGGGAGCCAUGCUCCCAAAAGGGAGCAUCUGUCAUUUGUCAUUCUCCAGUUUACUCUACCCUUCUUCCAGAAUGAUCUAGAUUCUUGGUGACAUUUUUUUCAGAUGCAACAUCAACAGUAGAGAGGUUUGUUUUUGCUAGAUUCCUCUGCCAUAUUUUCAUAAUGAUGACAGUAAUAGAUUGAAAAAAAUAACUCAGUCAAGGUUAAAAGAUUACUACAAAUGAAAAACUUAUGACAAGUAUCCAUUAGCUUCUAAGUGUUUUUUUUUAUUUUGUACCGAAGACUCAUGUGAAUCCAAAUGAUAGUAGGUUUGUUUGUUGUUGUCAUUAAAUGUGUUAUUAUAACUUUGGGGAUUUUGAUACUUUUUGAAUGUUCGUUACCUGUUGUACUACUGUUCUUUAUAUAAAAAAAAAAAACUGUUAGUUUUUGAAAAUUAUUUGCACUCACACAGUGUAUCAUGGCCAAGUUUGAAAUGGAAAUAGAUCUCAUUUUGGGUGAGAAACCUUUGUAUUCUUCCUUUCCUUAGCUGACACAGUGUGUCAAUGAUUGUACACUAUGUAUUUUUGAUUUUUUUAAAAAAUUAUUAUUGUUUUUGCUUGCAUGUGCAAUAUACUAUUUCAGUUUUAUUUUUUCUAUCCUUUUUGUAUUUGAAGCACAUGUCACCAGUAUUGAGAUUUUCUUUAACUUUUUUGAUUUUGCAGUAAUAUAAGUUUAAAAUAUAUUUGCCCUAAUGUCAAUACAUACCCCAAAAUCUUUAGACUAUAAAAAAUAAUGCCAUUGAUUGUUUUAAAAUUUAUGGGACUUUGCUUAAUGAUUCUGUAGGAUUCCAGGAGAAGGAAAUACAAAAAGAGCCAUUGCACAGUGCCAAAGAAGCAUAAAGCUACUUGUAUAGUGUCAAUUGAGCACAAGGUCAAAAAGAACAAACCAGUCCUUUGUGAAUUUAUGACUUUCUGCACAUAGAUUGAAUAGACUUGAUCAUGUAUGAGACUUGAUGUUGUGACUGUUCAACAUGUGUUAAAUGCAGGUCUUCCUUGUACCACACACUCUAUAUCAACUAUAUAAUAUCAAUUAUUCUGUCUCCAUCCUGGCUCCUAUUUGCUGCCAUGAAUUUAGGCCCUUUUCUAUUUUUCAUAGUGUGGCAAACGUUCUGUAGUUUGUCUGUAGUUUGGCUACUGAUUGGGUAAAUGCAUAAUUGCUUAAAUCACUUUAAUUGGGCCCUGAUUCAAGGACCCGUUAUAGGCUUAUAUUCCUUUACUUUGAAUUUUAUAUUUACCACCUAUAGUCUAUAUUUCAUCCAGAAGUUAUCUUUUCUCUUUUAUUUUUUUUCAUGUUUUUGAUUUCUCUUGCCAAUUGACUCAUAUACCUCAUAAUUCAGCCAUGUAUCUCUAAGUGAUCCCUGUGUUUUUCAACAUCCUCUUUGGGGGGGUAUAUAAUUAUUAUAAUAUGCAAAGUUUAAAUUCUUUUUGAGAGUAAUUUUAGGAUAGAAACAGGCUAACUCUCCAAAUAUAGAAAAUGAACUGUUUGGAGAAAGCACCAUGAAGAUGCCUACACAGAAAACAUGCUGCACCAGAAGAUCCAGAGUAAACUUUGGGAUGUGGUGAUUUGAGCUGUGUGGGAUUGAAUGCAUUUCUUUUUGUAUGUAUGCUCUUUUGCCAAAUGGGGACUGUCCCCUAACUGGCUUUUUGUCAAUGUGUCUAGCAAUCAUGGGUUUGUUCCUUUCCCUUUUAUCCCUAAAUUAUUGUAAUUCAAAAGUUGAUUAUGUUAAAUGAUUUAAUUUGGGAAACUAGCCCCCCCAAAUGAUCAUCAGAAGGGAAUGUGUAAUUGGAAAUCUGUCACUAAAAACUACAUUUCCUGGGAGCCUACUGGCUUCCUGUUAUUACAUACUUCCUGUAGGCAGUGGAUAUUAGCCACUGGGUUGGCUGGCCUCAGCCUCUUUGGCUUACUGUCAGCAUGGUAAUUGUGGUAAGAGGGAAUUUUAAAGAGGCUCAUUAGCCAUGGGCACGUGAUUGGUUUUAUUUUGUUACCUUUUUAUUACUUUGCUUCUAAUGAUAAUUAAUCAAUCUUUUAAAAUAUAAUAUAUUUUUAUUAUUGCACAUUAAUUUUAAUUUUUACAAGUAGUAGAGGGGGUAUUUUCAUUGUGAAUUCCUCAAAUCAAUGAAAUUAGAGCUCUAAACACAAACAAAUAUGUGAGCAAAUAAAUAAUUCUGAAAUCGAGAUGAGAAAACCAAAUGGUAUGGUUUGUAAUUACAAUUGUUAACAGAAUAGUUUGAUGGGGGGAAGUCACUAAGCAAACAAUUCAGCUUUUGUAAAAUGAACUUUUUAAAUAAAUUUACCAAAUGUUACUAAACAGAGCCACAGGAACAAAAAAUAAUCUUAUUAAAGAAGAAAUCUAAAUACUCAUCCACCUAUCUAGAACUUUAGUAAGAUUCCUAUUUACCCCAUUCCUGAAAACUGUCUAUCCUAUCUUUGAUUAAAGUUCUCUUAGAUAUAAUCCUACCUUCCAAGGAAAUUCAUUCUACUUUAGAAUAGCUGUAAAUGCGAGAAAGUUUUUUUUUUGCUUAGUUUCUUUUUUCUAUAUGACAAAUAAAUGUCUUAUAUUUUUUCCCAUUGCUCCCUCCUUCUGCUACCUGUGACUGAAUAGAAUAAAUUUAAUCUUUCCAUCAGAUAAUAUCUUUAAAGAAUUUUGUAUAUACGUAUUGUAUUCCCACACCAAAAACUUUUUUUUUUUUUCAAGAACAAACAGCUUCCCUUUCUUCAGUACAUAUGCCUAUGGCAUUUUCUUGAUAUCCCUUGAAAUUCUGAUCAUUUUCCCCAACUUGUCCAAAAUCUUUUCAGACAAGUUUAGCUUUGAAUUCCUUCAAAUGUGACACCUAGAAGUGAAUUUGUUAGAUGUCUGACAAAGGCAAAAUUCACAGGGGCUAAUCUGUCUCUAGUUCCAGACAUAGUCACUCUCAUGGAAGUUUCAUGUAAGGAACUUCACUUUACUAUAGCCUUCUUCCUCAUCUCUGAAAAAUAUAUAUAGUUAGUUAGAUGGAUAGAUAGAUAGAUAGCUUGGACUGAACAGUUCCUAAGAUCAAUUCUAUUUCUUACAUAAGCCUUUGAAUCAUGAUACCACUUGCCUUCUUGACUUACAUGUCAUAAUGAUGAAUUCUGUGUAGUCUGAAGUUCUUUAAAACCUUCAGCUCUUUCAGAGAAAUUGCUGACUUAUACUGUAGCUUAAACUUCUGAAGGCAAAAUGAUAAAACUUCUUAUUAAUUUUCAUUUCAUUUUCUUGCAUCAGAUUUAUACCAAUAUUCUGCAUUUGUAACAUCUUCAUGUACCUUUAUUGUUUUAUGUUGUCUCUAUUCCUCUUAGCUUUGAGUUUUGAGUCAUCUGUUAAUAUGAUUCAUCAUGCCACCAAUAACUUCUCUACAUAUGCUCUAUGUCUUUAAAGCACAUAGACAGCAUACUCAUCAAAUUUGCAGAUAACACAAAGCUGAAGAAUAGCUAAAACUAGAUGAUAGCCAAGAUACAAAAAAAAAAAAAUCAAUAAACCACAACAACAAUCUGAAUGUAAUAAGUGACACUUAUGGGGGGGAUGUGAAGUUUGAAAGUUUGUCCCAAGGAAGAUGAAUUAAACUUUGAACAAUGGAAAAGACAUAAUUUUAAGCUUAAGUUAAGGGGGAAACAGCAAUACUAACUCCCUAAGAAUUAAAAUAAGUAAAUAAUGGAAUAUGCUUUUUUGUAGCAGGGAGAAGGCUUUUCCUCACUGGCCAUUGCUGGUUGAUCAUUCUUUAUGUAGGAUGCAGAGAGAUUUCUUGUUCAAGUAGAGCACGAAGUUAGUAGCCUUUGUUUUACCUUUUGACUCAAAGAUUCUUGUUAUUUAUCUCUUACUAUAAACCAGUGCCUUUUGAGCACUGAACAAAUUCGAUUUCUUCAUUUGUUCUUGAAACAAAUUAAUAUGCGCUAUGCAGAGAAGAUAAUGAAUAUUAAUUAACUCAUUAAUAGUCUGAGACAAAUAAGGCAUGACCUUAUGAUCAAGGACAUUUCAGUCCCAUAUAAAUGAUGAAAAGUGCAUAUAUAUGUACUGUGCAUAUAAAUAUGCAUAUAAAUAUGUAUAUGAGUAAAUACAUAUAUAUAUAUGUCCAUAUAUAUAUAUAUACAUAUAUAUAUAUCCCUUUGAUUUGAGUGAAACAAACAAUAAUAUCUAUAGAAAUAUGGCAGAAAAAAAAGAUGUUGAUUGGUUUGCAUUGCUAGGGAAGUUUUCAUGGAAGGUGCAACUACAGUUGAACUUUGAAUGAUGUGUAAGAUAGUCCAGACAAUAAAGGAGAUAUUCUGGGCUGCUAUGUAGGUGAAAUGAAAAAGAUCUGUUUUGAAAAUUGUGUCGUAGAACAGAGUGGAGGGAAAGAAGACAUAGUGCUGAGAAAAAAGAGAAUGAUACAAAUAUAAAUAUAUAACAUAAAGUUGAAAAAUAUAUUUGUGUUUACACAUACACACAAACACAUACACACUCUGGUGUCAGGUUGUGAAAGACUUUCAUUCCAAGUCUAAGAGGCAAAAUUUGACCUUGUGCUGAAGAGGAGCAAUAUGGUAGUAGAGUGUUAGGAAAUUUAAUUAGACAUGAGUGUGCACGGUGACUUAGAAAAAGAAGUCUGGGAUGGAACAAGAGAAUCAAAAGAAAAGGUUGUCAGAUGGGACAGGAUGAAAUCACCAAAGACUAGAUUAAAAUAGUUGUGGUAUGAUAUGCAUGGAAAAUAAGCAAUGAAGAUAUACUUGAAGCCAUUCAUAAUUUAUUGGAUAUGGACACUGAAGGAAAAGGGGGAUCAAAAUGGCUUGAAGUUUGCAAACUGUCAAACCUUGGAGAGGACUAUGUUGACAAAAAUAAGAUUAUCAGGAAUGGAAGUCAUUUUUUUUGGAAAUUUUUAUUUGAUUAGUUGAUUUAGAAUACUUUUACAUGGUUACAAGAUUCAUGUUCUUUCCUUCUUCUCCCCUAAGCCCCCUCCCAUAGCUGGCAUGCAAUUCCACUGGGUUUUACAUGUGUCAUUCAUUGAUCAAGACCUAUUUCCAUAUUAUUGAUAUUUGCAUUACAGUGAUCAUUUCCCAAUCAUAUCCCCAUCUGCCCAUGUGAUCAAGCAGUUGUUUUUCGUCUGUGUUUCUACUCCCACAGUUCUUUCUUUGGAUGUGAAUAGCAUUCUUUCUCUUAAGCCCCUCAGAAAUUGUCCUGGAUCAUUUCAUUGCUGCUAGUAGAGAAAUCUAUUACAUUCAAUUGUGCCAUAAUGUAUCAGUCUCUGUGUACAAUGUUCUCCUGGUUCUGCUCCUUUCACUGCAUCAAUUCCUGGAGGUUGUUCCAGUUCUCAUGGAAUUCUUCCAGUUUAUUAUUCCUUUGAUCACAAUAGUAUUAAUGUAAGUCAUUUUAAAGGGAAAGAUAAUUAUUUUGGUUUUUGGAACAAUUGGCAUUGAGGUGAUGCAAAACAUCAGUGUAGACAUAUCCAAAAGGCAGUUGAAGACAGAAAACUGAAGAUCAUGUGAGAAGUCAGGAGUGGAAUUUGGGAAUCAUUCUCAUAGUAGAAAUGGUUGAGGACAUAAAGGAUUAAAUUAUAAAGGGAUAAUAUAUAGAGAAAAGAGCUGAGGAUUAGGACAAAGCAUUAGCCUAAACCCUAAGGAACCCCUAACUUUUGCUUACUCUGGAGGAAGACUUAACAUGAGAGGUGAAGUGUGGGUACAGGAUGCAAGUGAAAGGAGGAAAUGUAUCUAAGAAAAGGGCAGAGGUUAUAAAAUCAGGAGAAGAACCAAGAGAACCAGAAGUUGUAAAAUUAUGAAGUCCGAGGAAGGAGAGAGUGAGGGAGGCCAGAACAAAAAAUUGCCUAGCCUUGGAAGUUCAGGAAUGCCUGAACAUGGAGCUGCCUAACCUUAGGAGUGUUAGAACCAUAAAUGUGCCAAAGACCCCAGCUGCAGUGGGUACCAGAUAAAGGCCAAGAAGACCCCAAUAACAUAAAAUUGUCAAGGUCCCAAGGAUAGUAUGUAACCGAUAAGGGCUGAGGGGAGCCAUACACACCGGCAAUGUUCCAACAAUGGUAUGUAGCAGAUAAGGGGCUGGAAGGGGGGCUAUACAUGCUGAAAAGUACUUAAGGCCCAGACUUUCAGAAGCAAACUCGGAAUUCUGAUGGUAGAGGUUCCCACUGGUGUGCAUACCAGUUCCAUAAUAAAUGGCCUUUUUCCUUGCCUGAUUGCAUUGUCCAUGGCCUUCCUUGGUGGUGGGUGAAAUCCUGGGCCUUAACAAGAUAAUUUCAAGAAAAGUUAAGUGGUCAACAGUUGCAAAGAGGGGAAGGCUACUGAGAAAUGAAUAUACAAAGCAGUAACAUUAAUACACAUAUUUACACAUGUAUAUGUAUAUACAUAAACACACACAGCGUUUUGUGGUAAAAAGGGCUCUAGUGACCCAAAAGAGGAGAGAUUUGAUGGAGUCACCAAUUCGCAGCCAGACUGCAAGAGAGUUCUAAAAGAUAUUUAGCAGUUAUGGGUAAGAGAAAAAUAGGUCAGAAGCUCGGGAAGGCAGUGAGGUCAAGCAAAGUGUUUAUUUCAAAACCAGAGAGUCCGGCUCACAUUUGAGGUAGGAGCAGAAGGAGCCAGUGCAGAUUGUAAAGAUGAUGUGGCAGACCAACAAUCUGCAUUCAGUUUGUUAGUAGUAAAAUGAGACUGAAAUAUGUGAAAUCAAACCCAAGAAGAAUAAAGUUAUUCUGUUCUGCAUAUUUGCAAAUCAAUAUAUUUAGAAUGUGGUUAGAAUUGAAGGAUUAGGGAAGAACAACUACCCAGCUUCUCAUUUGAUCCAAAGCAACAUACCUGUUCAAAUGCCAGUGUGUUUUUCCAAUACUGUCUGCUCCCAACACUCAGCUCUAAUAGACUCUCCAUUUUAACCAUCUUCCCCCUUACACUGAGAGCUCUUUGUAUUUUAUUUCCAUGUAACUCAAGAGUCCAUUCAAAGCCAUUUCUGGCAAUGUGGUAUGGAGGAUUACUGGGGUGUGUUAUAGCUCUUCUAAAUCCCUUACAGCUUAUCUGUUUGGGGAUUUAUUUAUGUUUCUAUUACAUUUAUUAUGGAUGUGCCUCUUGAAAUGAUCUCUGUAAUACAAUACAUAGGGGAGUUACUUAACAGCUUUUAAAACUCUUUAUCAAGGAAAAAAUGAUGUUUCUCAUUUCCAGAGAGGUUGAAUGACUUUUAACUUUCAAGACAAUGUUUCUUUCCAUUUUCACUUACUUUAUCCAUUAGACAUUUUAAGUCUCAUCUGUUUUGUCACUUUGUCACAUUAUCAUCAUUAGGCAGACCUCAAAAA
Molecule: long non-coding RNA, 9728 nt
Organism: Monodelphis domestica (gray short-tailed opossum)
Lineage: Eukaryota; Metazoa; Chordata; Mammalia; Didelphimorphia; Didelphidae
Source: RefSeq, a predicted model, not a curated record